AGGCAUUUAAUAUCUCCUCCUUCGCUUUCCCUUUCACUGCCGCUACCUCUGCACCCUCUCAUCUCUCCAUUGUUGGUUUUGCUCCCCCCGCUGGGUUUUUUUUUCUUUCUCUCCCGCUUGUUCUCUCCGGCGCUCCCUCCAUCUCGUUCGUCCUGCCCCAUUUAUUAUCCCUUUCCUUUUCUCUGCAGAGAUGUAAUCAUUCGCGAAGACACAUUUUACAAAGGAUGUCCGCUCUCACCGCUACUGACAAUGCCGGAGGAAAACUUUGGACACGGCAUGCUGGCUGGUGGAAGGUGUGAGACCACCUUGAAACGACGCGGAGACAAGAUUACUAUGAUCCCAUUGUUUAGUCUCCGGUUGCCUAGUUUCACAGCGGCAAAGAAGAGGCAAAAUAAGAUGCUGAAACAAAUGACGUACAAGAGGUGGAAAACAAAGAUCCUAUAGCAGAGGUGGGAGUGUCAACGUCUGACAAAAGAAGGCCUAUGCGGCCUUGGAAAUGAUACACAGAUGUUGGCAGUGUUUCUCCACCUGGAGCCUUAUACAUUGUCACACUAUCAAGCUUUGGAAGCAUCACACCAAGCUUGGUCCUGUUUAUGAACACAGAUGUAUGAAAACAUCAGUGUAUAUGCAUGUUUAAUCAGUAAUGUAUGUAUCCAACAUAUCUGCUCUCAGUUAAAUGUAUAUGAUUUUUUUUUUUUGCAGGAGCAAGCUAAAUUGAUUUUUAAGAUGUGUUUGCACAUUAUAAAAUGCAAUUAAAAUUUGCAUUGUUAUUUGGUGAAAAGGCGGCACUGUGCUGUAGCGGAAGGGUAGAGCCACUGCCUUACAAUGCCAGAGACCCGGGUUAGAUCCUGACUACUGGUGCUUGUCUGUACGGAGUUUGUACUUUAUCCCCGUGACCUGCGUGGGUUUUCUUCGAGGUCUUUGGUUUCCUUCCACACUCCAAAGAUGUACAGGUUUGUAGGUUAAUUGGCUUGUUAUGGAUGUAAAAUAACUUGUGUCUAGUGUGUGUAGGAUAGUGUUAGUGUACGGGGAUGGCUGGUCGGUGCGGACUCGGUGGGCCGAAGGGCAUGUUUCCGCGCUGUAUCUCUAAACUAAACUAAAAAAGACGACAUUUUAAUUCUUGACAUGACUGACAAAAAUAUCCUAUAUUACAGUUUUUUUGAUUUUCAACAACAUAAUUUGCACAUGUCAAUAAUUCUAUGUUGAUAUUUGAUCCUGGUCAUUAGCUAGUAUCAGUUUUUUUUUUUUGCAUUUUCAUAAGCACAGCUUCACUUCAGUCGAGUGAUAUUGCUUCUUUCUAUAAAAAGGAUAAAUGACUAAAGAUUUGUCAUUUACUUCACAGAUCUGAUAAAAUCACAAACCUUUCCAUAAUAUUUUAAUGAAAAAUGAAUGUUAUUUGCCCCCAUUCACUGCAGGGAAAAGCAUACUUGCCCUAAUGGCUAAAUUUAACUACAACCUUCCUCAUUAAUGUUCUGACCACUCUGGACUUUGGUCACUUUCUAUGUAUUCCAUAGCAUACAUUGUUAGAAUCUAUAUUUUUUUACUGCUCUGCAAUCUAAUUUCAUUCCAUGGUUCAACUUAAACACGUGGGGAGCAGGGAUCAAACUGUGUAUUGCAAAUUAAAAUAGUGAAUAGUAAAAGUGUGUUAACAUGAAUGUACCUCUGCAUGAGUGAUCCACUCACAGAAAUAACAUUAGUGAACAUGGGGGCACACAGAUUGAGAAAUGUGUACGUGUACACAAACAAGCACACUUGCACAAUCAUUGUGCAAGAAUGAGAUAAUAUAGGCACUGUACACACAGUUAUGUACUUUAGCACCUACUUUAGGGUAAAUAUAGGAUCGAUCUAGGUGGCUGUUUGUAACAUGUAAAUUACAAAUAACUGCAAAUUGUAAAAGGGACUGGAGGCACAAAAUCACUUUCACAUAGUACAUGCAAGCACAUAGACACAACUCUGCAGCAUGCAUGUAGACAUAAUGCGAUGGGCACAAGGCGGGCUCCUAUCUAGUUAUUUGGCACAAGAAGAAAUGGUCAAUAGAGAAAGUAACACUGAUCUUUUGAAAACUUUUCUAUUGCAACCAGGUUUGCAUCAAAGGGCACAUUUUCUCUUUAUUUGCUCCAUGGUUUUCUCCCUCUCUGCUCGGUGAUCACUCUCAACCAGUAACGUGAUUACAACCACAACCAAGAUAUUAUAAUCAAACAAACCACUGGCUUGUAGUCAGUGACUUGGUACUGGGCCCACUUCCAGUUGCUUUAUCCGGAGAAAAGAAUAAAAAGAUAAAUCUAAGCAGAAGAGACAUUUCAUAAUAACUUUGCCUCAACAAAAUUGGAUGGCAGCUGUUUUGAGAGGUCUGAUGUAUUAAUCAAUGUAAUAGAAAAAAUGCUAUUGAUACUGCAGAAGGAGCAGCAGAUAAAUCACAACGCUAUCAUAUUGUGAGUGCUCACUUUCCUUACUACUUUUAUUUCUAUCUUUUUUAAAGCUCAAAAAUGAAGUGGUACAACAAAUGUAAUAAGAUAUAUCUGAUGUAUAUUAUUGUAAUUUACUGUACUUCUAAUAAAAAUAAAAUUUAAAAAAUAAAUAAAUAAAAAAUAUUGUGAGUGCAGGGACAAGGCUGAGCUGCAAGAACAAAAACACUUGCAUUGUAUCUCCAAUACAGAGGAGGUGACACGAUCGGGCUCCAUCCCAGUCAAACAACACAUCUCAUCAUCAUCAUCUUUCAAAUCCAGAAUGGGAUAACAAGGUGUAGCCUUGAAAGGAGUAUUUUAAUCAGAUGAUAUUGUGCUGUAAUAAUGAUGAGCGACUGAGCUCUUUGUCUGGUGACCCUCUGUGUUUUGUACGUGACUUCUCUGCAGCAAGGGAUUUUUCUUACUAUGUCCCGUUGGAUCGAGAUCUAUGGCUCACUUCUGUUUGGAAGACUAGUGAUUUUGUUGUUUCUUAUCUAUUGGUUUAACAACAAGUCAUAGUCUGCCAUACAGCACAGGGCAGAUCAUCACCUGAGCAACCUGAACUGUGAACAAUAGAUUAGUUCUUACACUCACAUGAUUAAAUCUUGCGUUGUGGAAUUAACUGUGCAAUGUACGUUGAAGUACAUUUGUUAUAUCACAAUUAAAGAUUCAUGACUUGUCAAUAGUAACUGGGCUGCCUUAUGUACUCAUACUCAUACUCACUCAUACUCACUUUAUUAGCCAAGUAUGUUUUGUACCAUACGAGGAAUUUGAUUUGCCAUACAGUCAUACUAAUAUAAAGCAACAAGAUACACAAAAUACAUUUUAACAUAAACAUCCACCACAGUGACUCUUCCACAUUCCUCACUGUGAUGGAAGGUGAAAAAAAGUUCAAUCUCUUCCCUUCUUUGUUCUCCCGCGGUCGGGGGCCUCUAGCCCUCCGUUGACGGGAUGAUCUUGACUCCUGUAGCCGGCGGCGGGCCCUCCAUGUCUGGGCGAUCAAGCUCCUGCAUCGGGGGCAUCUCAGCUCCCCUGCGCCGGGCUAUCGGACCCCAGGUCGGGGCUCGUCGAACGUCGUGUGGUUUUGAAGCUCCCGACUCUGCCUCUCCCGAGGCUGCGAGCCCUUGAUGUUAAAGUCCCCGGUAAGUUUUGAGGGUCGAUCCCAGGCAAGGAAUCGACUCCGAUGGUAAGUCCACACCCCAGAAAUUACUCAUUCACUGCCUUGUAACUUCUCAUGUGGUUAAUCAAGUUGACUUUUAAAAAUGCCAAUCUCUCCAUAAAUUGUUUAAAAAAAAGUGCAAAUUGUGAGGAUAUUUUAAAUAAAGGAGAGAAAGUACGGAGAUAUUCAAUUAUCUCAGUAAUAUCUGUA
Long non-coding RNA from Leucoraja erinaceus (little skate), 3813 nucleotides. RefSeq lists it as uncharacterized. The transcript is spliced from 3 exons. NCBI's taxonomy places the organism in Eukaryota, Metazoa, Chordata, Chondrichthyes, Rajiformes, Rajidae. The record is from RefSeq and is a predicted model, not a curated record.